AAUAAAGGAACUGUUCAUUACUUAGCUGAAUCAGUCCUACGUUAUAAAUUAACUGCUCAUCAGUUCAGGUCAGUCAGCUCACCUGUAUCUCACCUGUAGGAAACAGUGACGUCACUUGGCUUCAGUGCAGCUGCUGUAUAUCAACAGUCUGAAAGCCGAACCAAACAGAACCUGCCGGUUCUGAUCCGGCUCCAGGUGUUGAACGAAGUUCUACUGGAGAGUUCCUGGAGUUGUUGGGUUUAAACCGAGAUGUUCUGGUUCGGUUCGUUCAACACUAACAG
Poecilia latipinna (sailfin molly) is the source of this 281-nucleotide long non-coding RNA. RefSeq lists it as uncharacterized. The transcript has 2 exons. The record is from RefSeq and is a predicted model, not a curated record. NCBI's taxonomy places the organism in Eukaryota, Metazoa, Chordata, Actinopteri, Cyprinodontiformes, Poeciliidae.